This 309-nucleotide unclassified non-coding RNA is filed under the name Hevea brasiliensis (rubber tree). The record is from RNAcentral. Lineage: Eukaryota; Viridiplantae; Streptophyta; Magnoliopsida; Malpighiales; Euphorbiaceae.
CCACAAGUAAUUAUCAAAAAAGAUUGGAAAUUUACCACAACCUAUUACAUUAUUUUCUCGGAAAACAAAAAGAAAUUAGAUGGAAAUUAAGCAAACUCCAAUCAAAGACCAAAAAUAGAGACAACAACUAAAAAAGCAAUCAUAUGCCCCUUAAACUCCAUUUUAACAGAAAAAACGAUACUACAAUCAACAAGUUUCAGGGAAUAUAGGAUUCAUCCACUUCAUUUUCUUUCAAUUCCCAGAUUCUUGGAAAAAAAGAAAAAAGGCGAAACAAUAUCAGAGCAGUUCAUAGGGAAACACCUUUUUCCC